This 30-nucleotide non-coding RNA is filed under the name Rattus norvegicus (Norway rat). Lineage: Eukaryota; Metazoa; Chordata; Mammalia; Rodentia; Muridae. The record is from RNAcentral.
UACCAUUAUUUAUUGCUUCCUAACUAUCCA